AUUGAACGCUGGCGGCAUGCUUUACACAUGCAAGUCGAACGGUAACAGGGUGCUUGCACCGCUGACGAGUGGCGAACGGGUGAGUAAUGCGUCGGAACGUGCCGAGUAGUGGGGGAUAACGCAGCGAAAGUUGUGCUAAUACCGAAUACGUACUGAGGUAGAAAGUGGGGGACCUUCGGGCCUCACGCUAUUCGAGCGGCCGACGUCUGAUUAGCUAUUAGGUGAGGUAAAGGCUCACCUAGGCGACGAUCAGUAGCGGGUCUGAGAGGAUGAUCCGCCACACUGGGACUGAGACACGGCCCAGACUCCUACGGGAGGCAGCAGUGGGGAAUUUUGGACAAUGGGCGAAAGCCUGAUCCUGCCAUGCCGCGUGUCUGAAGAAGGCCUUCGGGUUGUAAAGGACUUUUGUCAGGGAGGAAAUCCCUAGUGCUAAUAACACUGGGGGAUGACAGUACCUGAAGAAUAAGCACCGGCUAACUACGUGCCAGCAGCCGCAGUAA
This 500-nucleotide ribosomal RNA is filed under the name uncultured bacterium. Its description in RNAcentral is "partial 16S ribosomal RNA". It matches the Rfam family "Bacterial small subunit ribosomal RNA", at positions 30 to 523 of the family's 1533-position model. The record is from RNAcentral.